This 84-nucleotide microRNA precursor is filed under the name Bombyx mori (domestic silkworm). RNAcentral's name for it is "mir-2807 microRNA precursor family". It matches the Rfam family "mir-2807 microRNA precursor family". The record is from Rfam by way of RNAcentral. Lineage: Eukaryota; Metazoa; Arthropoda; Insecta; Lepidoptera; Bombycidae.
AAAAAUUUUUUUUGCAUGGAUUUGGAACGUUUGGCUACGUUUGCCGCCAGGGGCGCUGUUCCAACUGCAUACAAAUUUGAGUUA